UAGGGAAUCUUCCACAAUGGGCGAAAGCCUGAUGGAGCAACGCCGCGUGUGUGAUGAAGGGUUUCGGCUCGUAAAACACUGUUGUAAGAGAAGAAUGACAUUGAGAGUAACUGUUCAAUGUGUGACGGUAUCUUACCAGAAAGGAACGGCUAAAUAACGUGCCAG
RNAcentral lists this ribosomal RNA (165 nucleotides) under uncultured bacterium. Its description in RNAcentral is "partial 16S rRNA". It matches the Rfam family "Bacterial small subunit ribosomal RNA", at positions 355 to 511 of the family's 1533-position model. The record is from RNAcentral.